UCCUUCGGGAGAUGGAAUCUUAAGGAAGCUGGCGGCGAACCUCCGGCCCGACGAACAGGAACCGCAUAGGAGGCUAGCAGCAGUUGGAUGAGCUUGCGAAACAAAGCGAAGUCCUUUAGCGUGCGAUUGCUGAGAGUAAAUUCGGCGGGUAGAUGGAGGGAAAGUCGACGCA
Molecule: non-coding RNA, 172 nt
Organism: Thermacetogenium phaeum DSM 12270
Lineage: Bacteria; Bacillati; Bacillota; Clostridia; Thermoanaerobacterales; Thermoanaerobacteraceae
Source: Rfam